RNAcentral lists this ribosomal RNA (490 nucleotides) under uncultured bacterium. Its description in RNAcentral is "partial 16S ribosomal RNA". It matches the Rfam family "Bacterial small subunit ribosomal RNA", at positions 30 to 507 of the family's 1533-position model. The record is from RNAcentral.
AUUGAACGCUGGCGGCAGGCCUAACACAUGCAAGUCGAACGGUAACAGGAAGAAGCUUGCUUCUUUGCUGACGAGUGGCGGACGGGUGAGUAAUGUCUGGGAAACUGCCUGAUGGAGGGGGAUAACUACUGGAAACGGUAGCUAAUACCGCAUAACGUCGCAAGACCAAAAAGGGGGAACUUCGGGCCUCUUGCCAUCGGAUGUGCCCAGAUGGGAUUAGCUAGUAGGUGGGGUAACGGCUCACCUAGGCGACGAUCCCAAGCUGGUCUGAGAGGAUGACCAGCCACACUGGAACUGAGACACGGUCCAGACUCCUACGGGAGGCAGCAGUGGGGAAUAUUGCACAAUGGGCGCAAGCCUGAUGCAGCCAUGCCGCGUGUAUGAAGAAGGCCUUCGGGUUGUAAAGUACUUUCAGCGGGGAGGAAGGGAGUAAAGUUAAUACCUUUGCUCAUUGACGUUACCCGCAGAAGAAGCACCGGCUAACUCCGUG